Mauremys reevesii (Reeves's turtle) is the source of this 1188-nucleotide long non-coding RNA. RefSeq lists it as uncharacterized. The record is from RefSeq and is a predicted model, not a curated record. NCBI's taxonomy places the organism in Eukaryota, Metazoa, Chordata, Testudines, Geoemydidae. The transcript is spliced from 3 exons.
UUUCCCUUCCCCACAGACAGACCCACGCAGCGGCACCACUAGUCCCCAGGCAGGUCCCCUCCGCCCAUCCUAGGGCUGCGCCCUGCCCUGAGCAUAGAGGGAGGCGUUCCCGGUCUGGGAACAGCCGGUUCGCUGGGCAUAGAAAACGCUGUGCCGAUGUCUGUCUCCCCCACGGGAGCGGUUCUCUCUCUGGCUCGGGCUCUGCCCCCAGCAAUCCGUGGGGUGGGAGGUAGGUGCCCCAAGAGGGGCUGGGGCUUAACCUCUCUCUGCCCCCCUUUGCCCGUAGGAGGCUAGCAGCACAGUGGUAAUGACAAGCAAGGGGGUGAAGUUAAGAAAUGGGAAUUUUAGAGUGAAUACCCGGAAAACCUUCCGGAUCGGGAAGAGAUUUAAAUCUGGAAGAGGGAUCAGCGCUUCCCGAAGGAGCCCGAGCCCCGGGGCUGUGUUACUGAAAGUUGGAACUGGACUAAGCAAAUCCACAGGAAUGAAUAAUCCUGCACUGAGAGAACGUCCCAUGGUACUGCCUGAUGGGAAAGGAGACCUGUCGAGAUUCGCUGCUCCAUAGAACAGGGCGCAGUGUUGAUGCUCCGGGCUGGAGAGACUAGAAGUGAAUAGCAGAGACGGGAUGGUGAACUGAGGGAGGUUACACCUAUGAACUGAACACAGGUCUUCUGGGUCCUGCAUCGGUGCCGUAACCGCAGGACCAGCUGUAGGCCCUGAAGCUGGGAGGUUCCUUCAGCCCAGAUCAGUCAUAGCUUGCCAUCGGGGCCAUUCAAGGGGCUGUGUGGAACAAGUUUGAAGGUCUACAUUCGCUAAGCAGUCUCAGCAGGGAGGCUGUGGGUCAAAUGGGCCAUGGAGAACGAACUCCACUUCCCCUCUUAGCGCUCGUAAUGUCUAUAGUUAUUCCACUAUAGCUAUGACAGUCACGUUCCCAGUGUAGACAAGCCCCUAGGCUAAGUCUAUUAUGCCGUUAUACCUGAGUCAGGGGCACUUGGUUACAAAGUGGUUAAAAGCUAUAGUGUAAAUGGGGCCUACUGUAACUGGGGUUGUCUGAAGCUUUAGCCCAGGUACAAGACACAGGCUGCAUCGAGACGUCUAAUCAUAAUGGGACCAUGCAGGGAACCAAGAGCUCCCUGGGUCACUCUCCUGAUCAGAGUGGUUAUUGGGGGGAGAGGCAGGGCUGACUCUAGG